RNAcentral lists this ribosomal RNA (1373 nucleotides) under uncultured bacterium. RNAcentral's name for it is "bacterial SSU rRNA". It matches the Rfam family "Bacterial small subunit ribosomal RNA", at positions 28 to 1381 of the family's 1533-position model. The record is from RNAcentral.
GAUGAACGCUGGCGGCGUGCCUAAUACAUGCAAGUCGAGCGAACGGACGAGAAGCUUGCUUCUCUGAUGUUAGCGGCGGACGGGUGAGUAACACGUGGAUAACCUACCUAUAAGACUGGGAUAACUUCGGGAAACCGGAGCUAAUACCGGAUAAUAUUUUGAACCGCAUGGUUCAAAAGUGAAAGACGGUCUUGCUGUCACGUAUAGAUGGAUCCGCGCUGCAUUAGCUAGUUGGUAAGGUAACGGCUUACCAAGGCAACGAUGCAUAGCCGACCUGAGAGGGUGAUCGGCCACACUGGAACUGAGACACGGUCCAGACUCCUACGGGAGGCAGCAGUAGGGAAUCUUCCGCAAUGGGCGAAAGCCUGACGGAGCAACGCCGCGUGAGUGAUGAAGGUCUUCGGAUCGUAAAACUCUGUUAUUAGGGAAGAACAUAUGUGUAAGUAACUGUGCACAUCUUGACGGUACCUAAUCAGAAAGCCACGGCUAACUACGUGCCAGCAGCCGAGGUAAUACGUAGGUGGCAAGCGUUAUCCGGAAUUAUUGGGCGUAAAGCGCGCGUAGGCGGUUUUUUAAGUCUGAUGUGAAAGCCCACGGCUCAACCGUGGAGGGUCAUUGGAAACUGGAAAACUUGAGUGCAGAAGAGGAAAGUGGAAUUCCAUGUGUAGCGGUGAAAUGCGCAGAGAUAUGGAGGAACACCAGUGGCGAAGGCGACUUUCUGGUCUGUAACUGACGCUGAUGUGCGAAAGCGUGGGGAUCAAACAGGAUUAGAUACCCUGGUAGUCCACGCCGUAAACGAUGAGUGCUAAGUGUUAGGGGGUUUCCGCCCCUUAGUGCUGCAGCUAACGCAUUAAGCACUCCGCCUGGGGAGUACGACCGCAAGGUUGAAACUCAAAGGAAUUGACGGGGACCCGCACAAGCGGUGGAGCAUGUGGUUUAAUUCGAAGCAACGCGAAGAACCUUACCAAAUCUUGACAUCCUUUGACAACUCUAGAGAUAGAGCCUUCCCCUUCGGGGGGGCAAAGCGACAGGUGGCGCAUGGUUGUCGUCAGCUCGUGUCGUGAGAUGUUGGGUUAAGUCCCGCAACGAGCGCAACCCUUAAGCUUAGUUGCCAUCAUUAAGUUGGGCACUCUAAGUUGACUGCCGGUGACAAACCGGAGGAAGGUGGGGAUGACGUCAAAUCAUCAUGCCCCUUAUGAUUUGGGCUACACACGUGCUACAAUGGACAAUACAAAGGGCAGCGAAACCGCGAGGUCAAGCAAAUCCCAUAAAGUUGUUCUCAGUUCGGAUUGUAGUCUGCAACUCGACUACAUGAAGCUGGAAUCGCUAGUAAUCGUAGAUCAGCAUGCUACGGUGAAUACGUUCCCGGGUCU